UGUGGGAGCGAGCCUGCUCGCGAUGGCGGUGGGUCAGCCAACAUUUGUGUUGAAUGAUGAACCGCUAUCGCGAGCAGGCUCGCUCCCACA
This 90-nucleotide unclassified non-coding RNA is filed under the name Pseudomonas sp. A214. Lineage: Bacteria; Pseudomonadati; Pseudomonadota; Gammaproteobacteria; Pseudomonadales; Pseudomonadaceae. The record is from RNAcentral.